Molecule: ribosomal RNA, 503 nt
Filed under: uncultured bacterium
Lineage: Bacteria
Description: partial 16S ribosomal RNA
Rfam family: Bacterial small subunit ribosomal RNA
Source: RNAcentral
AUUGAACGCUGGCGGCAGGCCUAACACAUGCAAGUCGAACGGUAGCACAGAGAGCUUGCUCUCGGGUGACGAGUGGCGGACGGGUGAGUAAUGUCUGGGAAACUGCCCGAUGGAGGGGAUAACUACUGGAAACGGUAGCUAAUACCGCAUAACGUCGCAAGACCAAAGUGGGGGACCUUCGGGCCUCACACCAUCGGAUGUGCCCAGAUGGGAUUAGCUAGUAGGUGGGGUAAUGGCUCACCUAGGCGACGAUCCCUAGCUGGUCUGAGAGGAUGACCAGCCACACUGGAACUGAGACACGGUCCAGACUCCUACGGGAGGCAGCAGUGGGGAAUAUUGCACAAUGGGCGCAAGCCUGAUGCAGCCAUGCCGCGUGUAUGAAGAAGGCCUUCGGGCUGUAAAGUACUUUCAGCGGGGAGGAAGGCGGUGAAGUUAAUAGCUUCACCGAUUGACGUUACCCGCAGAAGAAGCACCGGCUAACUCCGUGCCAGCCGCCGCGGUAA